UAGCCGACAUCGUCUCUGAUAUUUUGUCUAUCGACCCAAUGGAUACGGUGUUAGUAAUGCUGCCGUUACAUAUGGGACUUAGGGUGUAUUUUGUCAAUUCUUACCCCUACAUCGAUUACGAACACUCGCCUUUAAGCUUGAUAUUGAAAUCACGAAUUACAAUAAUCUUCCCCUAGGUUUCUGAUAAUUAUAUACAAAGAGGAAGGAUUUAGCUGCUGAUUUCCACAUACGACUACAACCACAACGGAAAUAAACACAGUGACAUCGAUUUCCACAUCACUUUGUAAGCGAAAGAGAUCCUCAAUCGGAGGUGGAUCUGAAUCCGAACAACAGCCUCCAAAGCUUGAGAAGAUUGGCGAUGAACAACGACCUAUGUCCAAAAACGCGGAGGUAAUGUAUUGUGAGGCGAGGGAUCAUUUCUGUUAUUAUGUUAAAAAAAUUUGGAUGGCUGAAUAACAUUGGGUGGCGUAUUUGUGAUGGCAUUGUGUGUGGAAAAUGGUCAGAAGGUAAUUCAAUUGCAUGCGGGAUUAUUUAAGGAAAAUUCUUUAAGCGAUGGUGGACUUGUGAAAGAUAGAAGUGAAGUUCUGAGGGAACACUCGGCCAGUAGCCGAAGGCCUCUUAAUAUGAACUGUCGUAUAGAGUCCUUUGGGAGAAUAUGUCAAAAAUUUGAUGGUAGGAGGAGAAGGUGGGUGUAUGAGAUGGGUUUUGGAGGGCUGCUCCACUUUGCCUAUGAUAUGCAUUUUCCAAGGCAGUUAGCCUAUUGGUUAAUGACUAGGGUUGACCCUAUAAACAAAGUUUUUAUAGCACCAGGAGGUCGGGAGUACCGCUUAUCAAAGAAUCAGGUUAGAUGGGUGCUAGGUAUCCCAAAUGGUGCAAAAGAAGUUCCAAGUAUGAAUUCGAUGACAGAUGAAAUUCGUGAGAAGGUCCAGAACAUAUUCUUGAAAUAUGGUAAAUCAUGGCAGACAAAAUUAAAGAACGACUGCUGAAAUGUGUACACAUCCAUAGGAAUUCCUGUCAAGAGUGAGAUGAAAGACAGGUUUGAAGGGUAUUUUGAGGUACAACAGGAGGAAGAAUUCAAAACUCUAUUCUUGAUUAUGCAUUGCAAAUGGUGUUGUGCCCGACCCAGUUACCAAGAUUAGAGUCUGACUUAAUGCCUGCUCUUGGGUGUGUAAUGGAAACUUGUGAGUAUGAUUGGUGUAAGUUGAUACUGUGUAAAUUAAUGGACAGUGUAAGUAGCUUUGCGCGUCGAUUUUACGCUAAUGGAUUUGCUGGAGGUUGCGGAGGAUGUGCAAUGUUUGUAGUGAUAUACUACCUGGACUGGUUGGACAGGGAUCCUAUUCAAUGGGAUGUUUAUCCUCGAACUAAAGUAUGGAAUAUGAAGCAAAUUCGUAAGGUCGGGAAGUGUGAUAGGCUAAGAACGGGGGACUACGGUUGCUUAGGGCAUGUGGUAUAGCUCUUAGAUGUUGCAUAAGGUGAAUCUCAUCCUAGGGAGGCUAGGGACACGGAUGGCCCAAUUACCAUGACCGAAAACCCGUAUAUGACCACGAUGGUGGGGUGCAAGGAAAGGAGAAGGCGAGCUCCGACACAUAGCAAUAUGGGAAAUGGCAACCCCAUGUAACAUAUAAUGGGGAAAAUGAGUUGAGUGUGAAGGCUGAUACAUAUUGAAUUUAAAAAGUUGUAAUGGGGACGCAAUUCAAUUAGGAUGAAUGUUGUUGAAACAUCUUAUGUUUUGCUGUUUCUGUUAAUGGUUUUUUGGUCAAUAGUGGUUCAAAGCAUAAUCCCAAGUUAUUUUGGGUUGUGUAUAUUAUUGUUUACUCAGUAAUGAGUGUCAUACAACUAUGCGUCAUUUGAAAUAUUAACACUUGCAUGUUAGGGUGAUUUGUUUUCAUUUUGAA
Chenopodium quinoa (quinoa) is the source of this 1895-nucleotide long non-coding RNA. RefSeq lists it as uncharacterized. The record is from RefSeq and is a predicted model, not a curated record. The transcript is spliced from 7 exons. NCBI's taxonomy places the organism in Eukaryota, Viridiplantae, Streptophyta, Magnoliopsida, Caryophyllales, Amaranthaceae.